This 351-nucleotide ribosomal RNA is filed under the name uncultured bacterium. RNAcentral describes it as "bacterial SSU rRNA". It matches the Rfam family "Bacterial small subunit ribosomal RNA", at positions 8 to 350 of the family's 1533-position model. The record is from RNAcentral.
AGAGUUUGAUCCUGGCUCAGGAUGAACGCUAGCUACAGGCUUAACACAUGCAAGUCGAGGGGCAGCAUGUUGGUUGCUUGCAACCAACGAUGGCGACCGGCGCACGGGUGAGUAACGCGUAUCCAACCUACCCUUGUCCAUCGGAUAACCCGUCGAAAGGCGGCCUAACACGAUAUGCGGUUCACGGCAGGCAUCUAAGGUGAACGAAAUGUGAAGGAGAAGGAUGGGGAGUGCGUCUGAUUAGCUUGUUGGCGGGGUAACGGCCACCAAGGCUACGAUCAGUAGGGGUUCUGAGAGGAAGGUCCCCCACAUUGGAACUGACGACACGGUCCCAAACUCCUACGGGAGGCA